GGCUUAUUAAAAUGAAAUAUCAUAAAACAAAGCCACAUUAGAGUUCAUCUUUUCCUCAUUCUUUCCAACCGACAAUAAGGGAGAAAAAGAGAUUAUGGAAUCUAGGGAAGAGGCCGGUUGCAUGCUGUGGGAAAACUGUGAACUUGUUUGCUUAGAAGCUAAAAUUUUGAAGUAACAGGAUCGAUUAUAAGCCAGGGAUAAGAGAAGGUCGUGGAAUAAUCAUCUUUGACUUGAGGUUUAUACUUUAGCUCGAGUUGGAAGGGCCGGAGAUAUCAUCACACUAUCAAGUCAUUAUGUGAGUUGAGAAGAUUGUAUAUCAUCAUGGUUUAAGGCAUGUAUAGGAUAGACUAUAGGUAGAAUGAUAUUUCGACUUUGUAUACAUUAUAGCCAUGCGAAGAUGGCUUACUCAUUUUGUUUAGAGAAGCCUUAUAAUUGAACUAAUGUGGUGAAAUGUUUUAGUUAUAACUUGAUAGUAGUUAAUUUGUUAUUAGAUAUCCGGUUAUGUUUUGAUAGUGAGUCAUUUUGGAAA
Molecule: long non-coding RNA, 529 nt
Organism: Gossypium arboreum
Lineage: Eukaryota; Viridiplantae; Streptophyta; Magnoliopsida; Malvales; Malvaceae
Exons: 3
Source: RefSeq, a predicted model, not a curated record